This 377-nucleotide ribosomal RNA is filed under the name uncultured eukaryote. RNAcentral describes it as "partial 18S ribosomal RNA". It matches the Rfam family "Eukaryotic small subunit ribosomal RNA", at positions 592 to 976 of the family's 1831-position model. The record is from RNAcentral.
UGUAAGCGUAUACCCAAGUUGUUGCAGUUAAAACGCUCGUAGUCGGAUUUUGGUGGGCGAGCCGGGGCGUCUUUGCGGACGGACCUGGAUCGGCCGCCUUUGUGGAGGGGGGCCCGGGGCCGCUUGAGUGCGGGCUCGUUGUCGCUGCCACCGUUUACUGUGAAAAAAUUAGAGUGUUCAAAGCGGGCGUUUGCCAUGAAUACCUUAGCAUGGAAUAAUAGAAUAGGACCUGUGUUCUGUUUUAUUGGUUUGUGAGGACCGGGUAAUGAUUAAGAGGGACGGUUGGGGGCAUUUGUAUUCCGGCGUCAGAGGUGAAAUUCUUGGAUUGUCGGAAGACAAACGGCUGCGAAAGCGUCUGCCAAGGACGUUUUCAUUGA